UACCCGCUGGAACUUAAGCAUAUCAAUAAGCGGAGGAAAAGAAACCAACAGGGAUUGCCCUAGUAACGGCGAGUGAAGCGGCAACAGCUCAAAUUUGAAAUCUGGCGUCUUUGGCGUCCGAGUUGUAAUUUGCAGAGGGCGCUUUGGCAUUGGCAGCGGUCCAAGUUCCUUGGAACAGGACGUCACAGAGGGUGAGAAUCCCGUACGUGGUCGCUAGCCUUUACCGUGUAAAGCCCCUUCGACGAGUCGAGUUGUUUGGGAAUGCAGCUCUAAAUGGGAGGUAAAUUUCUUCUAAAGCUAAAUACUGGCCAGAGACCGAUAGCGCACAAGUAGAGUGAUCGAAAGAUGAAAAGCACUUUGGAAAGAGAGUUAAAAAGCACGUGAAAUUGUUGAAAGGGAAGCGCUUGCAGCCAGACUUGCCUGUAGUUGCUCAUCCGGGUUUUUACCCGGUGCACUCUUCUAUAGGCAGGCCAGCAUCAGUUUGGGCGGUUGGAUAAAGGUCUCUGUCAUGUACCUCCUUUCGGGGAGAUCUUAUAGGGGAGACGACAUGCAACCAGCCUGGACUGAGGUCCGCGCAUCUGCUAGGAUGCUGGCGUAAUGGCUGUAAGCGGCCCGUCUUGAAACACGGACCAAGGAGUCUAACAUCUAUGCGAGUGUUUGGGUGUCAAGCCCGAACGCGUAAUGAAAGUGAACGGAGGUGGGAACCUUUCGGGGUGCACCAUCGACCGAUCCUGAUGUCUUCGGAUGGAUUUGAGUAAGAGCAUAGCUGUUGGGACCCGAAAGAUGGUGAACUAUGCUUGAAUAGGGUGAAGCCAGAGGAAACUCUGGUGGAGGCUCGCAGCGGUUCUGACGUGCAAAUCGAUCGUCAAAUUUGGGCAUAGGGGCGAAAGACUAAUCG
This 898-nucleotide ribosomal RNA is filed under the name Didymella sp. RNAcentral's name for it is "partial large subunit ribosomal RNA". It matches the Rfam family "Eukaryotic large subunit ribosomal RNA", at positions 22 to 937 of the family's 3401-position model. Lineage: Eukaryota; Fungi; Ascomycota; Dothideomycetes; Pleosporales; Didymellaceae. The record is from RNAcentral.